Molecule: ribosomal RNA, 447 nt
Filed under: uncultured bacterium
Lineage: Bacteria
Description: partial 16S ribosomal RNA
Rfam family: Bacterial small subunit ribosomal RNA
Source: RNAcentral
UCCAGACUCCUACGGGAGGCAGCAGUGGGGGAUAUUGCACAAUGGGGGGAACCCUGAUGCAGCGACGCCGCGUGGGUGAAGGAGCGUUUCGGCGCGUAAAGCCCUCUCGGCAGGGAAGAAGGAGGACGGUACCUGACUAAGAAGCCCCGGCUAACUACGUGCCAGCAGCCGCGGUAAUACGUAGGGGGCAAGCGUUAUCCGGAUUUACUGGGUGUAAAGGGGGCGCAGACGGCAGCGCAAGCCAGGAGUGAAAGCCCGGGGCCCAACCCCGGGACUGCUCUUGGAACUGCGCGGCUGGAGUGCAGGAGGGGCAGGCGGAAUUCCUGGUGUAGCGGUGAAAUGCGUAGAUAUUAGGAGGAACACCAGUGGCGAAGGCGGCCUGCUGGGCUUUUACUGACGCUGAGGCUCGAAAGUGUGGGGAGCAAACAGGAUUAGAUACCCCCGUAC